AGCGAACGCUGGCGGCAGGCCUAACACAUGCAAGUCGAACGAACCUUUCGGGGUUAGUGGCGGACGGGUGAGUAACACGUGGGAACGUGCCUUUAGGUUCGGAAUAACUCAGGGAAACUUGUGCUAAUACCGAAUGUGCCCUUCGGGGGAAAGAUUAAUCGCCUUUAGAGCGGCCCGCGUCUGAUUAGCUAGUUGGUUGAGGUAAUGGCUCACCAAGGCGACGAUCAGUAGCUGGUCUGAGAGGAUGAUCAGCCACCUUGGGACUGAGACACGGCCCAAACUCCUACGGGAGGCAGCAGUGGGGAAUCUUGCGAAAUGGGCGAAAGCCUGACGGAGCCAGGCCGCGUGAAUGAUGAAGGUCUUAGGAUUGUAAAAUUCUUUCAACGGUGACGAUAAUGACGGUACCCGGAGAAGAAGCCCCGGCUAACUUCGUG
Molecule: ribosomal RNA, 434 nt
Filed under: uncultured bacterium
Lineage: Bacteria
Description: partial 16S ribosomal RNA
Rfam family: Bacterial small subunit ribosomal RNA
Source: RNAcentral